Molecule: ribosomal RNA, 484 nt
Filed under: uncultured bacterium
Lineage: Bacteria
Description: partial 16S ribosomal RNA
Rfam family: Bacterial small subunit ribosomal RNA
Source: RNAcentral
GACGAACGCUGGCGGCGUGCUUAACACAUGCAAGUCGAACGAUGAACCCGGAGCUUGCUCCGGUGGAUUAGUGGCGAACGGGUGAGUAACACGUGAGUAACCUGCCCUUGACUCUGGGAUAACUGCGGGAAACUGUAGCUAAUACCGGAUACGACCCUCGGCGGCAUCGCCAGGGGGUGGAAAGAAUGUCGGUCAAGGAUGGACUGGCGGCCUAUCAGCUAGUUGGUGAGGUAACGGCGCACCAAGGCGACGACGGGUAGCCGGCCUGGGAGGGUGACCGGCCACACUGGGACUGAGACACGGCCCAGACUCCUACGGGAGGCAGCAGUGGGGAAUAUUGCACAAUGGGCGCAAGCCUGAUGCAGCAACGCCGCGUGAGGGAUGACGGCCUUCGGGUUGUAAACCUCUUUUAGUAGGGAAGAAGCGAAAGUGACGGUACCUGCAGAAAAAGCACCGGCUAACUACGUGCCAGCCGCCGCCGUAA